RNAcentral lists this unclassified non-coding RNA (554 nucleotides) under Hevea brasiliensis (rubber tree). Lineage: Eukaryota; Viridiplantae; Streptophyta; Magnoliopsida; Malpighiales; Euphorbiaceae. The record is from RNAcentral.
CAGCAGCAGCAGCAGCAGCAAUUCAUGGCCAUCACUAUGUCGCAUGCUAGGAUGAAGAGGCAAGAUCACCUUAUUCCUUCUGUUUGUGAAGAAAAUAGAGUUGGGUUUUGAGCUGGUGGUGUUGUACUGCCGUUGCAAUUACUCUGCAAUGAGCAAAUGUGAAACGGAAUGGGGUCAGAGAGCUAUUACAGUCGGACGAUGGACAGACGGCAAACAUUAUUUCAUUCUUUACUUCUGUCAAGGACUAGGUGCUUUAUUUGGGCAUGGUCGAAAAAGGUAAAUAACGAUCUGAGGUGUAACUGGGAAAUCAAAAUAGCACGGAAAGAAGAGCAAGCUGGGAAACCAGAUGCCUACUGCCAAGGAUGGUUUACAUAGAGAAAUCUGCAGCAUCUUCUUAUGAGCUCAUUUAAAACGGAGUGUUGCCAGAACAUAGAAAUUUGCUUUUGCCCAUACUCCCUUUGAGUAUGAAUACCUUUGUACACAUUCUUAAUCCUCUUCUGCUUAUGUAUGAUUUUUAUCUACUUGUAUUUUACAAGAUCAGCAGUUCGAAAAUG